Suricata suricatta (meerkat) is the source of this 121-nucleotide small nucleolar RNA. Its record names the gene U8. It matches the Rfam family "U8 small nucleolar RNA". Rfam says of the family: U8 is a member of the C/D class of snoRNA which contain the C (UGAUGA) and D (CUGA) box motifs. U8 is the RNA component of a small complex (the U8 snoRNP) which is required for accumulation of mature large subunit ribosomal RNAs, 5.8S and 28S rRNAs. NCBI's taxonomy places the organism in Eukaryota, Metazoa, Chordata, Mammalia, Carnivora, Herpestidae. The record is from Ensembl.
UCGUCAGGUAGGAAUCCUUAUCUAUUCCUCCUUCGGAAGGGCAGAUUGGAACAUGAUGAUUGGAGAUCGCAUGACGCGUGAUUAGAAACAUAUCACCUUGACAGUGUGGCUCAGUACUGAC